Molecule: long non-coding RNA, 1654 nt
Filed under: Nicotiana benthamiana
Lineage: Eukaryota; Viridiplantae; Streptophyta; Magnoliopsida; Solanales; Solanaceae
Description: long non-coding RNA (NBEN_LNC013604)
Source: RNAcentral
GUUGUGAAAAAAGCCUCCUCAACACCAUCACCAUGGUGAAUAUCAAUGUCUAUAUACAAUACACGCUGCAGAAAACACUCAACAUUUCAGAGGAACAGUAACUCAGAAGAAUCUCUAUUACAUGCAAAAAAUUCAGAAAACACUCAACAUUUCAGAGGAACAGUAACUCGGAAGAAUCUCUAUUCCAUGCAAAAAAUUGGAUCCAAGCAAAAGAUCCUGUGAAGCCAUAGCUUAUUAUUGUAUGUAAAGACAAACAUGCUACAAUUAUCCAGAUCCCAUAGUUAAUUUUUUAUCAAGUAAGCAACUUUUCAUAAAUGAAUGGGGCAAAACAAAAGCACACAUACACAAGAGGUAUACCAAAAAGUAUAGAACCUACAAAAAGCUAUGGUUCUCUACAAUAGACACCCAAUCUUCCAUACAACAAGUAGCUUCAUGGCUGCACCAAAAGAAAACAAGGGAAAAGCUACUUCUCAACUGCAUUAAACUCAUCUCUAUACCUUCAAAAGCUCUUAUGUUUCUUUCUUUCCAAAUAACCCACAUGAUUGCUAGUGGAGCAACAGUCCAUGCCCUGCACCUUAUAUUUGAUAAGCAGAGAAAUGACAAGCAAUCAACUAAGUUCCAUUCCCUAGAAAUCUUACAGAUUAGUACUUAGUAAGUUCUAUUGAGACUCAAUGUGAUUAAUCACUUGAGUGGAGUUUUAACAAAUAUAUGUACGUAGAGGUGCAGUACUUAACCUAGUAAUUAGUAAGUUCUAUUGAGACUCAAUGUGAUUAAUCACUAGAGUGGAGUUUUAACAAAUAUAUGUAGGUAGAGGUGGAACUAGAUUGUAACUUGAAAUUGUAAUGUGUUGAUAUUUCUUUUAACUUGUCUUUAUGAUACGUGAGAUGUUUCCAUAGAGAUAUUACAGAUCUAUCUUAGCUAAUACAAAGAUAAUAGGCAGGUGUUUUCAUAUUCUGCAGCAUAGAUUUGACAAAAUAAAAUUCAAGUUAUCGGCUUUACUGAACUUUAAACUAGGGACUUAUUCCAUUUCCUCAUACAAGUAAUUUAAGCUUCCAUACCUUCAAUAAUUCAUAAAGAUGGUAACUAUGAUUUAUUCCCUGCACAUAACACUUCUUUCAAGUUCCACCAAAUGCUACGACCUGAAUCAACAAAUCCACAAGGACAUAAACCAUGGACAUCAUGCAUACCCUUUUGUUUGCUUCAUCCUCAAAAUGGUCAACCAGAAACUUACACAUAAGGGCAGGGCCACAUAAUGCAUUAGACACAGAAAUUUGUUUUCACCCAAUGUACAAAAACAUGAGAAAGUACAAAGCACCCUACUAAAUGUCGGCAUCAUCAGUUCUUUAGAUGAGUUGUAAUUCUUUCUUUUUUUAGUAAAUACAAAAUGGUUAUUACAUUUUAGGGUGUUCACGGUUCAAUUUAACUCGAUUUUUACCUAAAACUAAACCAAACUAACCAUGCCAGUUUACUAAAUAUAUAAACCAAACCAAAAGAAUCGGUUUUAUGGUUUCCGCUUUUCUCGUUUUUAAGGAUAUAUUAGCCACAGUAAAUAGAAAUUCAUUGAAUUAAAUCUAUUAGAUCUACAAAUAAAGAAUUUCAUAUGUCAAUAUAUGUUUACUAAAAAUCGAACAGAUUGAUAAACAUAUGAUUUAAU